UACGUAGGGGGCUAGCGUUGUCCGGAUUUAUUGGGCGUAAAGAGCGUGUAGGCGGCCAGGUAGGUCUGGUGUGAAAACUCGAGGCUUAACCUUGAGAUGUCAUCGGAAACCAUCUGGCUAGAGUCCGGAAGAGGAAAGUGGAAUUCCUGGUGUAGCGGUGAAAUGCGCAGAUAUCAGGAAGAACACCAAUGGCGAAAGCAGCUUUCUGGGACGGUACUGACGCUGAGACGCGAAAGCGUGGGGAGCGAACAGG
Molecule: ribosomal RNA, 253 nt
Filed under: uncultured bacterium
Lineage: Bacteria
Description: partial 16S ribosomal RNA
Rfam family: Bacterial small subunit ribosomal RNA
Source: RNAcentral